UGGAGAUUACUCUUCUUGGAGUCUUCUCAGCGAGCCUAGGAUAAGGGUAUCCCAGCAGAACAGGACAGGCUGCCUACAGAUUACUGCUGCAAAGAACGUGAUAGAGUUUUGGACUGCACCUUAAAUUUCAAGCAACAAGACAAUAGGAAGGGCUUGGCAGAUCUAACUAAUCUGGCUUCAGCUUGGGUUUGUGGAAGCUGAGGACUCCGGCAAGGUAUCUGUAGAGCAAAACAAAUGCCCAUUUUCUCAAGAAUGCUCAGUUAUUGUACAGUCUGUCCUCACAUGGACUGAAAGAUACAAGUACAGAUGAGUUUCAUGAAGUUGUUAAAGCAACAGUUUUUAAAAUAGUGUGUGUGUAUAUAUAUAUGUCUUUCUUCAGCACUUAAAUACUGUGAUACCUUCUGUCUGAAGCAUAGUGAUGUAUAGUGAAUAUAUCCCCAAUCAGUAUGUAUUCUGAUACAUCUGCCUCAUCUUAAUAUCAAUAUCAGUGAUAUCGUAAAGAUGAUAUAUAUUAUUAGUAGAAUUAUUCACUUGAGUGAAUGUGGAAUUCUGCUUAAAUCAUGAAUAUAUAAUAUUGCCCUAACUUCUUUGACAUUUGCAGUGAAUAACCAUCUCUCAGUUUUUGUCACAGCAAUUUCUGCUGUCAGAUUUAGCCAUUGUCCUCAUAUGAAAGCCUCAUUUGUAAUAUUACCGUCUGUCCAUCACAAUGAAAAAAAGGCUGGCUUUCACCCUUAACCUAUAAUAUAUAUUUUUUGUUUAUAAAAACAUGCCAUUAGCCACACAACAAACAGUUCUUACGUAUUAGCUGAUACAUAAUAAUCUCUCUUGCAUACUACAUUGUUGCAAUUAAAACACAAAAAAAGUAAA
This is a non-coding RNA of Meleagris gallopavo (turkey), 867 nucleotides long. Lineage: Eukaryota; Metazoa; Chordata; Aves; Galliformes; Phasianidae. The record is from RefSeq and is a predicted model, not a curated record.